CAUCUGACGAGUCCCAAAUAGGACGAAACGUGCGUCAAG
This 39-nucleotide non-coding RNA is filed under the name Schistosoma mattheei. The record is from RNAcentral. Lineage: Eukaryota; Metazoa; Platyhelminthes; Trematoda; Strigeidida; Schistosomatidae.